RNAcentral lists this ribosomal RNA (301 nucleotides) under uncultured bacterium. RNAcentral describes it as "partial 16S ribosomal RNA". It matches the Rfam family "Bacterial small subunit ribosomal RNA", at positions 509 to 808 of the family's 1533-position model. The record is from RNAcentral.
CAGUAGCCGCGGUAAUACGUAGGGCGCGAGCGUUAAUCGGAAUUACUGGGCGUAAAGCGUGCGCAGGCGGUUUUGUAAGACAGGCGUGAAAUCCCCGGGCUCAACCUGGGAAUGGCGCUUGUGACUGCAAAGCUAGAGUGCGGCAGAGGGGGAUGGAAUUCCGCGUGUAGCAGUGAAAUGCGUAGAUAUGCGGAGGAACACCGAUGGCGAAGGCAAUCCCCUGGGCCUGCACUGACGCUCAUGCACGAAAGCGUGGGGAGCAAACAGGAUUAGAUACCCAGUAGUCCCUGUCUCUUAUACA